This 441-nucleotide ribosomal RNA is filed under the name uncultured bacterium. RNAcentral describes it as "partial 16S ribosomal RNA". It matches the Rfam family "Bacterial small subunit ribosomal RNA", at positions 338 to 795 of the family's 1533-position model. The record is from RNAcentral.
CCUACGGGAGGCAGCAGUGGGGGAUAUUGCACAAUGGGGGGAACCCUGAUGCAGCGACGCCGCGUGGGUGAAGGAGCGUUUCGGCGCGUAAAGCUCUAUCGGCAGGGAAGAAGGAGGACGGUACCUGACUAAGAAGCACCGGCUAACUACGUGCCAGCAGCCGCGGUAAUACGCAGGGGGCACGCGUUAUCCGGUUUUACUGGGUGUAAAGGGGGCGCAGACGGCAGCGUAAGCCAGGAGUGAAAGCCCGGGGCCCAACCCCGGGACUGAUCUUGGAACUGCGCGGCUGGAGUGCAGGUGGGGCAGGCGGAAUGCCUGGUGUAGCGGUGAAAUGCGUAGAUAUCAGGAGGAACACCGGUGGGGAGGGCGGCCUGCUGGACGGCGACGGACGUUGAGGGCCGAAGGCGUGGGGAGCAAACAGGAUUAGAUACCCGGGUAGUC